Molecule: ribosomal RNA, 36 nt
Filed under: Swartzia racemosa
Lineage: Eukaryota; Viridiplantae; Streptophyta; Magnoliopsida; Fabales; Fabaceae
Description: partial 26S ribosomal RNA
Source: RNAcentral
CGGGACCUCAGGUCAGGCGGGGCUACCCGCUGAGUU